GAUGAACGCUGGCGGCGUGCCUAAUACAUGCAAGUCGAGCGAACAGACGCGGAGCUUGCUCCUCUGACGUUAGCGGCGGACGUGUGAGUAACACGUGUAUAACCUACCUAUAAGACUGGUAUAACCUCGGGAAACCGGAGCUAAUACCGGAGAAUAUCUUGAUCCGCAUUGUUCAAUAGUGAAAGACGGCUUUGCUGUCACUUAUCGAUGGAUCUGCGCCGGAUUGGGUAGUAGGUGAGGUAACGGCGUACCAAGGCGACGAUGCGUAGCAGCCCUGAGAGGAUGAGCAGCCGCACUGAAAGGGGGACAGGCUCCAGAGGCAUACGGAAGGGGGCAGGAGGGAAUCUUGCGGAAUGAGCGAGGGCCUGUGGAAAAUGCGCCGCAGGAGGAAUGAACAACGUCGGGUCGUGAAUCUCUGUUAUUAGGGAAGAACAAAUUUGUGAGUAUCAAUGAGCGUGUGGACGGUACCUAAGUAGAAAGCCACGGGUAAAUACGGUC
This 498-nucleotide ribosomal RNA is filed under the name uncultured bacterium. RNAcentral describes it as "partial 16S ribosomal RNA". It matches the Rfam family "Bacterial small subunit ribosomal RNA", at positions 28 to 508 of the family's 1533-position model. The record is from RNAcentral.